This 1773-nucleotide long non-coding RNA is filed under the name Zostera marina. RNAcentral describes it as "long non-coding RNA (ZMAR_LNC003570)". The record is from RNAcentral. Lineage: Eukaryota; Viridiplantae; Streptophyta; Magnoliopsida; Alismatales; Zosteraceae.
ACCAACGUAAUGAUCUCAUGAGACGUUUUGUAAAACCCUGCUUUCCACACAGAAUUUUAAUACACUAACAUGACUUAUAAUACCAUGUUUCCUAACAGAAUUUGAAUAUAACAAAAUUCCAACAUGUUCAGCCUUUAAGAAUUCUAAGAUCGUAUUUAUUACAACCCAAAAUAGACAAUAAUGACUAUAAAAGUUAUGUUAUACGCAAGCAAGCCUCGUCGCCUCGACGAGUCCUUUGCUUUCUACCAUUCCAACUAGGCAAGACUGUCUCCAUUCCCUGCAACAUAGUAUGUAUCCGUGAGUAAUUUCAUCACUAAGUAUGUAAAACAUCCAUAUUAUCAUGUCUCAAAUAUCAAGCUAUUUUACGCUACAAUUAGUAAAGGAUGCACAUAAUAAGCAAGAAAUAAGUAAACCUCUAAUCUAGUUCAUUAAUCAAUAAUCAUUCAUAAGACCCAUAUGGGUCGUCAUUCGUCAUUCAUUAUUCACCGUCGGUUAGGCGUUAAAACACCCUGGUCAUGUUUUACUCAUGCAUUCAUUCAUUCACUCGUUCAUUCAUUCAUUCAUUCAUGCAAUCAUUCAUCUAUUCCUUAACUCAUUUACACAUGCAUUUCUACCUUUGUUCUCAUGUCCAUUCAUGCAAUCCCUCCCUAAUCAUUUUCUCAUUUUUAAAUCGAUCAGCAACAAUUUUAUUCAAUUAAAUCAAUUAGCAAUCAUGGUCAUCAUACGUGAAAUUAAUUACUAAUUACUUCCCCCAACAUGAAUCAUGAUGACACUUUAUUGACAUGUUUCUUUUACUGUUUCUUAAUGUACAUUAACCAUCUCAUGUCCAUUAACAUUUCAACCUUUUAACAUUUCUACAUAUUAAUAGUUUAACAUUUAAUAAUAUCCUUACAGGACUUAGUAUGCUUGAUAAUUCAGAAAAACCUUUGGAUUGCUAAAAAUACAGAUAAGAUAAAUGUAGAAAGCAACAGAUUAUCAUGGUAUUUUAAUUGUGAGAAGUCUGAUUUAAACCUUAGGAUUGCUAAAGCAUAUAUAAGAUAAACAUAGAAAAUAACAGAAGCAUCAUUGUAUUUUAUUUGGAAAAAUCUACUUUAUACUCACUACUCUUAAAUCUUAACUAUAGCUACUUAUACAAUUGGUUAUCUCCGUGACUCUCUAUACCAACAGAUCUACCAUCUACAAUCAUAGAUCCAAAAUCACCCAAUAAAACCAUAACAAGUGUCUAAUUAACUAUUAAAUUUUCUGGCCAGCACACUAAGAGAUCCACCGCUUAUGGUGUUCACUUUCUAAGUGAAAAGGAAUUUACAACUAAAAUCUAACAGAAGAAAGGAAACACAUCGAAUCACUUAAUAGAUCCUACUGAUAUAUUAUUUACAAUCAUCAAUUCGAUAUCACCUCAAUAAACCAUCAACAAUUAUCAUCACAAUGAAUUCUAUUUAUGACCAGAACCGCUAAAGGAUCCACCGCUUUCAGAUCUGUGGAUUUACAUCAUGGUGACCACCAUGAUUUUCAGAUCGUUAGACUCUAAAAAAAUGGAACCCAUCCGUUUCCCUCCCUCACUUCUCAAACCCUAGACAUGGAAUUUGGAAAAGUAACUCUACAUACCUCCUCCGUUGUCAGUCGAGCCUCACACCUAUCACACCACGACACUGAUGCUCCCUUACAGAUCUCAGCCACGAUGCAUUAGCCGUUCUCCUUUACUCCUAGCUGUCCUCCUUCUUCCUCCUUUCGUACCCCCUUUUCUGUUUUUCUUUCUAUUAUUUUAUUUUUUUU